Molecule: long non-coding RNA, 1546 nt
Filed under: Homo sapiens (human)
Lineage: Eukaryota; Metazoa; Chordata; Mammalia; Primates; Hominidae
Description: HSALNT0212466
Source: RNAcentral
UUAUUUGCAGCUUUGAUUGCUUUUUCACAAACACACACAUAAAUAUAUAUAUUUGAAGGAGUUACAGUUCUAAACUAAACUGGAAUAAAGUAAUGCCCAUAGUUAUUAAGUACUAAAGUACAGUAUUUUAAAGAAAUGUUGAAAUUGUUAUAAUAUGAAGUUUCUUAGUGCCCCUAGCUUACAGCCACUAAAGUUAGUUUUAUAUCUGAUACCAUAUUGUAAUGAAUUUACUUUUUUGUUCUGUAUGAUCUUUAGCUUAGUUUACUGGGUUGCCCAAUAACAUGGGAUUGACCUGCCUGCUAACCUUGUGUUGGAGUCUGCUUAGUCCCUAGUUCAGCUAGGUCCAAGUUUUUGUCUCAUGACCAAGAAGAAUAAGGCUUGCAGCCACUGGAGAGUAAAUAGAGUAGAAUUUAUUAAGCGAAAGGAAAGCUCUUAGCAAAGAGAGGGGACCUGAAAGCAGGUUGCCAGAAAUAGGACUGAGUUCUGGGUCUUUUAUGUGGCAAGAGCAAGGAAGCCUUCUGUGGGUUCUGCCCAAAAUGGGAGGGCUAAAGUUCCCUCCUAAGGAUGUUGCAUCUGUGCAUGCCUGGGGUUGACUCCAUCUUAGUUAUUACCCGUGAGUGCCUAAGCGAAAGCCACAGGGGUACUAAAACCACAAUGCGAAUGUCAUGUUAAUGGCAUUAUAAUGAGUUGGGCCAAGUUAAGGACAUUUAGGUUGACUUAUUGCGCCUGUGCCUAAGUUGGGAUGGUCCCUUCUGAGCAACAUCCUGGCAUGAGGGUAAGUUCUUAAUCAUAUUUCUUCUCAUUAGCUACAGGGACAGUGCAGGUGCAGUCCUGUGGGUAUUUUUCCACUCCGAAGACCCUCCCUCUCUAUCUGCCUAAACUGCCUCCUCUGUCACUUGGAAAUGGCAGUUUACUGUUGAACAAUAGACCUCUCCUUAUGCUUUUCUCUUCCAGUCUUUGGGAAUCACACUCUGAAGAUUAAACAUUUCACUGAGACAGCAUGACGCAGUAGAAGGUACCCAGAAUCACAAUACAGUUCACAGUAACAAAGAUAUGGAAUCAACCAAAGUGGAUGAUUGGAUGAGGAAAGUGUAGUAUAUAUACACAAUGGAAUACUAUUCAGCCAUAAAAAGAAUGAAAUAAUGUCUUUUGCAGCAACAUGGAUCAAACUGGAGGCCAUUAUCUUAUGUGAAAUAAGCUAGACACAAAAAGACAAAUACCACAUAUAAGUGGGAGUGAAAUAAUGUGUACCCAUGGAUGUAGAGUGUGGAAUGAUAGACAGUGGAGACUGGGAAGGGUGGGAGGGGGUUGGAUGAUGAGAAAUUACUUAAUUGGUACAAUGUAUGUUAUUCCAGUGAUGGAUACCUGGAAAGUCCUGACUUCAUCACUAUGCAAUAUAUCCAUGUAACAAAAUUACACUGUAUCCCAUACAUUUAUAUAAAUGAAAUGAAAAAUGAAAGAAAAUAGGAGUUUAAGUACCAUAUGUGUUACAACUAGCUGUGCAAUCCUGGACGAGUCAGUUCUCAUUUCUGAGCCUCAGUAUCCC